CUAAAUGUUGUUUUUCAGCCCUCACUCCCCUACCCUGUGAGCUGUUUACUUGUAUCGGUUAGAUUUCUUUAAAUCAGUGUCAUGCAAGACAUCAUUAUAUUCAUAGUAACCCCAAAAUGUUUCUUCAUUUAAGACCCACAGCAUAUCCAUUUGACCACUUUCCAUCCAAAGACACUGUUUGAAUUGUCAGCUCAAAAGCUGCUGCUGCCCAACAAGGCCAAAUGCCAAUGACACACAAAAACACCCUCCAAGCCAACUGAGUUUAUCUCUAAUGCCAAACACGGCUUGGAAAUACAGGUUUAGACACCCUGCGAACUGCUGGUGAAAAAUUGCUUCAACAGGCUGAGCCCUUUAAGGGCCAGAGGAGUAAACAUGAUCUUCCACGUGAAUAAAAUGCAGUGGCCGCGUAUUGACAAAACGCAUUCAAGUCUUACCCUCAGCUGCGCCGUCAGAGGAAGACUCUUUCCCUGCUCUGGUGUAAACAGCUUUGCCAGCUCUGUGGUGCCAGACAAUUGGACCACUGAAAGCCAGGGUGGGGCUGCUGCUCUUGCUCUCAGUUUCUGCUGUUACUGUUCAGCCCUAUGAGCAGCAGGGAAGCAAAAAGUAAAGGAGCCGACCUGAAAACAGGCCCAUCCCAGUGCCAGGUGGGUAGCUGUCUCUCACUCUUGGAACUGCUGUUUGGCCUCAGACCCAUUCCUCGAGUGAACUCAGGGUGGCUUAGGAGAGAGUUUUUCUGGGAUGCAAAGAAGCCAUCCAGGAAAACACUGUAAACCACACGAUCCAAAAACAUUCAUUGAGACCUAAGGUAUACCAACAGGUUCCAGGCCCUGGGGUUGGGCUCCCUGCUCUCACAGAGCACACAUUUAAUGAGACAGGAAAGAUAAAAAGUAAUUACAUCAUAUGUCAUGUGGUGUUCCGGGCAAGAAAGAUAAAUCAGGACAAGGGUAAAGGUGAUAUUCUAACUGACCGCUCAGGCAGGCUUACUCUGACAAGGCAGCAUUUAAAUGAACAAAGAGAUUGAGUCACAUAUGUGAGGCAGGAAUUUCAGGCUGAAGGAACAGCAAGAAAGAGGCCCUGGCUGGGGAUGUGCUUGGCAUGUUUGAAGACCCAAAGGUAGCACUUUGGGAAGCUGGUGACAGAAAUUGCCCCUGGGGAGCCUCUUGCAGAUGAUGUUGAGGUAGAUGGUGAAUGAGGGGCUUCUGAUGAAACUUGCUGGUGAUGCUCACACGGUGGGAACAGUGGGUGGAUCCUACCCAUAAUGGGCGCGCACAGCUUCUGAUCCCUCCAUCCAGUCUUCUCAACACAUGUUUUUUUCAAAGGGCCAAAGCUGCUGAGAUCCAAGCAGCCUCACAGGCAAAGCCAUACCAAGUAAAAAAGGAAAAAUAAAUCUGGUUUUUAGAAAAUAUUUGUAGGGUUC
This 1417-nucleotide long non-coding RNA is filed under the name Sus scrofa (pig). Its description in RNAcentral is "lncRNA (ENSSSCG00055027082.1)". Lineage: Eukaryota; Metazoa; Chordata; Mammalia; Artiodactyla; Suidae. The record is from RNAcentral.